CUUCACCGAGCCGAGCCACAACGGACGCCCCGGCUCACGCCCUUGACCGUAGGUGGCGAGCAGCGCCCCGGCCUC
Molecule: antisense RNA, 75 nt
Filed under: Streptomyces sp. AmelKG-E11A
Lineage: Bacteria; Bacillati; Actinomycetota; Actinomycetes; Kitasatosporales; Streptomycetaceae
Description: ASpks TB sRNA
Rfam family: ASpks TB sRNA
Source: RNAcentral